This 253-nucleotide ribosomal RNA is filed under the name uncultured bacterium. RNAcentral describes it as "partial 16S ribosomal RNA". It matches the Rfam family "Bacterial small subunit ribosomal RNA", at positions 524 to 776 of the family's 1533-position model. The record is from RNAcentral.
UACAGAGGGGGCAAGCGUUGUUCGGAAUUACUGGGCGUAAAGGGCGCGUAGGUGGCCUUCUAAGUUGAACGUGAAAUCCCUGGGCUCAACCCAGGAACUGCGUCCAAGACUGGGAGGCUUGAAUCCGGGAGAGGGAUGCGGAAUUCCAGGUGUAGCGGUGAAAUGCGUAGAUAUCUGGAGGAACACCGGUGGCGAAGGCGGCAUCCUGGACCGGCAUUGACGCUGAGGAGCGAAAGCCAGGGGAGCAAACGGG